CAAUAAGCGGAGGAAAAGAAACCAACAGGGAUUGCCCCAGUAACGGCGAGUGAAGCGGCAACAGCUCAAAUUUGAAAUCUGGCCUCGGCCCGAGUUGUAAUUUGCAGAGGAUGCUUCUGGCGCGGCGCCUUCCGAGUUCCCUGGAACGGGACGCCACAGAGGGUGAGAGCCCCGUAUGGUCGGACGCCAAGCCAGUGUGAAGCUCCUUCGAAGAGUCGAGUAGUUUGGGAAUGCUGCUCUAAGCGGGAGGUAUACGUCUUCUAAAGCUAAAUACCGGCCAGAGACCGAUAGCGCACAAGUAGAGUGAUCGAAAGAUGAAAAGCACCUUGAAAAGGGGGUUAAACAGUACGUGAAAUUGUUGAAAGGGAAGCGCCUGUGACCAGACUUGCGCCGGGCGGAUCAUCCAGCGUUCUCGCUGGUGCGCUCCGCCCGGCUCAGGCCAGCAUCGGUUCUGGCGGGGGGAUAAAGGCGGCGGGAACGUGGCUCCCCCGGGAGUGUUAUAGCCCGCCGUGCAAUGCCCCCGCUGGGACCGAGG
This 535-nucleotide ribosomal RNA is filed under the name Phialophora calyciformis. Its description in RNAcentral is "eukaryotic LSU rRNA". It matches the Rfam family "Eukaryotic large subunit ribosomal RNA", at positions 44 to 591 of the family's 3401-position model. Lineage: Eukaryota; Fungi; Ascomycota; Eurotiomycetes; Chaetothyriales; Herpotrichiellaceae. The record is from RNAcentral.